Long non-coding RNA from Ipomoea triloba (trilobed morning glory), 2131 nucleotides. RefSeq lists it as uncharacterized. NCBI's taxonomy places the organism in Eukaryota, Viridiplantae, Streptophyta, Magnoliopsida, Solanales, Convolvulaceae. The transcript is spliced from 2 exons. The record is from RefSeq and is a predicted model, not a curated record.
AGCAUCUCUGCGAACAUGUAUCCGUUUCUUCCCAUCGCUAAUUAAGCGUGCUUUAGUAAUAUAGGUCGCCAACGGUCGAUCUAGUCCGCCGGAGCAGAUAUGGUAGUCAGAUGUAUAUCUUUAGCGUGGAGCUGAAAUAUUUCUUUCUCUCGCUUUCUCCUAUCAUUAGGUGCUUAUAUAUGAAGAUAUGCAAGGAGGCGUGAUGAUUCUUAUCCACUUAAAUCUGUAUGUUUCAGUGAUGAUUUCCAAACAUGCACUACCAUCUGAUCUCUGUUGUAUAUCUCAUGUUUUUAGUGUUGUAUUCAUGAAUUUGGUAAUGCAAUCAAUGAUGCUAUUUACCCAUAUCUUCUGAUUUAUUGUGAUUGUCAUUGAAAUUAUCACCAUCUUUCGACUGAGGUUGCAAAUUUAGUUUAGCUAUGUUCUUCACAUCCCUGUUUUCAAUUUCUUCAAAUUUUCAUUCUCUCUGUUCUCUAGUCCUAAGCCAACAUCAAUGUUUAAUAUUAAGUGUGAUUUUAUUUGAAAUUGACCAGAGUGUUUUUUGUUGCCCGUGGUAUCUAAUGUCUAGAGUGUUUGUGUUGCUGGAUGUUUCGUUUUGAGGGCAGAAAUAUAAAGCAGAUCUUGCGACACAGUUAGCUUCAUUUGUAAUAAGCUUUCUGUUACAUUAUGCCUGCUUACAUUGAAAUUCAUUUUUUUGCUGAUUAAGAAUUUGAUUCCUAUAUUGUUGACAACUCAAAUAAUUUGUUUUUAUUCACAACUCAAAUUGAUUAAUUAAAUUUUCAUUAUGUAUGAACUUUUAGAGGUGCAGAUGAUGAUGUUUUAGAAUCUUACUCCUUCUGGAGAAAGAUGAAAUUGUAUUCAAAGGAAAUCAGAAUCUCUGAUGCAUUCAUUAAUUUUUUAUUGAAUUAUUUUUCUUUACUCUUUUUAUUGUGUAAUUUUUUGCUAUGUAGUGUUAUGCCUUUUGCCUAUGAUGGCAUUAAAUAUACUUUGAGUAUCUCACUCUGAAAAGAACUUAAACCUGAGGUAUCAAGGCUUAAUUCACUCAUUUUUUUGACAGAAGGAUGGUUGGAAUUGUAUUACUGUUUUUCUCAUUUGUUAAAAGAUUGUUUUUCUGUUAGAGCUUUUUCUCUUCAGUGAUUUUGAAUGUUUGUGCUUCUGGUGAAUGUGGUUUGUGCAUAUGAUGAUAAACAGACAGGGACAUCAGGACUCUAAAAGAGGAUGUUGAUUUGUCAGAUGGGAAUCUCUCUGAUGCACAGUUUAAUCAUAUCUUUUAAAACAAUCUGAGCAUUUUAAUGCACAGUUUAGGCCUUGUAUAACUAAGGCUUCCUAUUUGUUGUCCCUCCUAUCAAAUGAUCAUACAUCACAAUUUACAAAGUGAAACCAUGAUUCCCUUUGUCUUUAUUUUUAUGUUUUUUGUUAUUAUUAUUAUUAUUGUUGUGAUGUGGCUUGUUUGGUCUCCCUCACACAUUUUGAACUGUUUGCCUAUGAUGCAUUUCUAAUGUUAGUAUUAUCAGAUCAAGGAUGAUGAUACUUAAAAUUGUCACUACCUCUGAGGCAAGCACACCUAUGUAUUCUUCCAGCCCAAAGCCUUAAAUUUUCUUGCUUUGCUUCUUUUCCAUUUAACUUUCUCUUUUUAAUCUAUGUUGGGCAAUAUAAAAGUUAUGAUAUAUAUAUAUAUAUAUAUAUAUAUAUAUAUAGAUUUGCAGUUCUUUCAAGCUGAGUACACAGGUUUUGCUACUUCAAUUCUGAUUUUAAUUGUCUACUUAGAGUGGUGUUGACAGUUCCUUGUGGAUUUGAGCAUAUUGAUUUUGGACAACCUACUAGAUAAUGCAGUUGCUGUUAGUUCUUGCUGGUGUCAUUUAGCUGAACGGGCUGACUGGUUAACAUUCAGAUGAUUGGGUCCUGGGCUCCUGGCAACCCAUUUUUUCUUGAUGAUCGUGUUCCUGUUCGUGGUGUUGGAUUGUGCUGUGGGAACGUUUUUUUUUUUUGUGUGUAUGUCUCGUAGUUGUUUUUGUUAUAAAAAAGUUUGAUGUAUAAAUGCAUUUGAUGAUAAAGAUUAGUUUGUGAAAUUUGUAGUUCUUAAUGAACAUUAUUUUUAGUUUUAAAAAAUCAAAUAAAUGAGGUUGUUCUAACA